This 497-nucleotide ribosomal RNA is filed under the name uncultured bacterium. RNAcentral describes it as "partial 16S ribosomal RNA". It matches the Rfam family "Bacterial small subunit ribosomal RNA", at positions 28 to 507 of the family's 1533-position model. The record is from RNAcentral.
GAUGAACGCUGGCGGCGUGCCUAAUACAUGCAAGUCGAGCGAACAGACGAGGAGCUUGCUCCUCUGACGUUAGCGGCGGACGGGAGAGUAACACGUGGAUAACCUACCUAUAAGACUAGGAUAACUUCGGGAAACCGGAGCUAAUACCGGAUAAUAUAUUGAACAGCAUGGUUUAAUAGUGAAAGACGGUUUUGCUGUCACUUAUAGAUGGAUCCGCGCCGCAUUAGCUAGUUGGUAAGGUAACGGCUUACCAAGGCAACGAUGCGUAGCCGACCUGAGAGGGUGAUCGGCCACACUGGAACUGAGACACGGUCCAGACUCCUCCGGGCGGCAGCAGUAGGGAAUCUUCGACAAUGGGCGGAAGCCUGACCGAGCAACGCCGCGUGAGUGAUGAAAGCCUUCGGGUCGUAAAACUCUGUUAUUAGGGAAGAAAAAAUUUGUAAGUAACUAUGAGCGUCAUGACGGUACCUAAUCAGAAAGCCACGGCUAACUACGUG